GGGAUUUUGAAGGGCUCGUUCUUGAUGCUGUCAUACAGGUUCUGUGUGGAGGAGAAAAUAACACUAGGACUUGAGGACAGAGAGACGGAGAGGAAGGUAGAGGACCCCUGGGGCAGGGGGAUGGACAGAGAGGAAGGUAGAGGACCCCUGGGGCAGGGGGAUGGACAGAGAGGAAGGUAGAGGACCCCUGGGGCAGGGGGAUGGACAGAGAGGAAGGUAGAGGACCCCUGGGGCAGGGGGAUGGACAGAGAGGAAGGUAGAGGACCCCUGGGGCAGGGGGAUGGACAGAGAGGAAGGUAGAGGACCCCUGGGGCAGGGGGAUGGACAGAGAGGAAGGUAGAGGACCCCUGGGGCAGGGGGAUGGACAGAGAGGAAGGUAGAGGACCCCUGGGGCAGGGGGAUGGACAGAGAGGAAGGUAGAGGACCCCUGGGGCAGGGGGAUGGACAGAGAGGAAGGUAGAGGACCCCUGGGGCAGGGGGAUGGACAGAGAGGAAGGUAGAGGACCCCUGGGGCAGGGGGAUGGACAGAGAGGAAGGUAGAGGACCCCUGGGGCAGGGGGAUGGACAGAGAGGAAGGUAGAGGACCCCUGGGGCAGGGGGAUGGACAGAGAGACGGAGAGGAAGGUAGAGGACCCCUGGGGCAGGGGGAUGGACAGAGAGGAAGGUAGAGGGCCCCUGGGGCAGGGGGAUGGACAGAGAGGAAGGUAGAGGACCCCUGGGGCAGGGGGAUGGACAGAGAGAUGGAGAGGAAGGUAGAGGACCCCUGGGGCAGGGGGAUGGACAGAGAGAUGGAGAGGC
Molecule: long non-coding RNA, 798 nt
Organism: Oncorhynchus keta (chum salmon)
Lineage: Eukaryota; Metazoa; Chordata; Actinopteri; Salmoniformes; Salmonidae
Exons: 4
Source: RefSeq, a predicted model, not a curated record